UAAAAGUAAAGCGCCUGUACAAGUCUCAAAGAGCUGUUUAACAUUUAAAGUUUAUAGCAGAAAUUUUAAUAGACAACUCUGAGGAGCUUGUAGACGAGGAGGAUAGUGAUCGAAUUAUCGGCGGAUGCUAUCCCGGAUGUGGCUCAUCCGAAAUCUUAUUAAGUAAAACAUUUAGGCAACUCAGUGCACAAAGUUAAUAAGU
This 202-nucleotide non-coding RNA is filed under the name Staphylococcus auricularis. RNAcentral's name for it is "glmS glucosamine-6-phosphate activated ribozyme". It matches the Rfam family "glmS glucosamine-6-phosphate activated ribozyme aptamer". From Rfam's summary of the family: This entry contains a glucosamine-6-phosphate activated ribozyme that is found in the mRNA for GlmS. GlmS is an enzyme that uses fructose-6-phosphate and glutamine to generate glucosamine-6-phosphate. The record is from RNAcentral. Lineage: Bacteria; Bacillati; Bacillota; Bacilli; Caryophanales; Staphylococcaceae.